CACAGGGCCACCGGGAACGGGGAGCUGGGAGCUGGGGUGGGCGGCAGGAGGGGAGUAGAUCCAUGAAGCUCCUCCAAGCCGGGGUGCACAGCACUGAGACCUGCCCCGGCUGAGCCAGCGCCACAUCCCAGCUCCGCAUCGCGGCAGGACACUGAUGCUGGAGGAAGAUGCUGUAUGGAGCCUGCAGCCGGGUGGUGCUGAUGCUGGUGGCCGUGUCCCUGUGCUCUGCAGACGAUGAGCUGUUGUGCGCCUGCGACGUCCCGCACUGCAGCACACCGACCUGCAAGGGCAAGGUGUGCUUCGUCAGCAAGAGGAAGGAGGAUGGGACCAUCACCCAGCACCGGGGCUGCUUCUCCCAGCACAUCCUGGAGAACUGCCACACACCCGUGACGGAGC
This 396-nucleotide long non-coding RNA is filed under the name Amazona collaria (yellow-billed parrot). RNAcentral describes it as "lncRNA (ENSACOG00000014137.1)". Lineage: Eukaryota; Metazoa; Chordata; Aves; Psittaciformes; Psittacidae. The record is from RNAcentral.